RNAcentral lists this ribosomal RNA (253 nucleotides) under uncultured bacterium. RNAcentral describes it as "partial 16S ribosomal RNA". It matches the Rfam family "Bacterial small subunit ribosomal RNA", at positions 524 to 776 of the family's 1533-position model. The record is from RNAcentral.
UACGUAGGGGCCUAGCGUUGUCCGGAUUCAUUGGGCGUAAAGGGUGCGUAGGCGGCGCGGUAAGUCGGGUGUGAAAUUUCGAGGCUUAACUUCGAAACUGCAUUCGAUACUGCCGUGCUUGAGGACUGGAGAGGAGACUGGAAUUUACGGUGUAGCGGUGAAAUGCGUAGAUAUCGUAAGGAAGACCAGUGGCGAAGGCGGGUCUCUGGACAGUUCCUGACGCUGAGGCACGAAGGCCAGGGGAGCAAACGGG